AUACGUAGGGGGCGAGCGUUGUCCGGAAUGAUUGGGCGUAAAGGGCGCGUAGGCGGCGCGGUAAGUCUGGAGUGAAAGUCCUGCUCUCAAGGUGGGAAUUGCUUUGGAUACUGCCGCGCUUGAGUGCAGGAGAGGUUAUCGGAAUUCCCGGUGUAGCGGUGAAAUGCGUAGAGAUCGGGAGGAACACCAGUGGCGAAGGCGGGUAACUGGACUGCAACUGACGCUGAGGCGCGAAAGUGUGGGGAGCAAACAGGAUUAGAUACCCUGGUAGUCCACACUGUAAACGAUGAAUGCUAGGUGUAAGAGGUAUCGACCCCUUUUGUGCCGGAGUCAACACAAUAAGCAUUCCGCCUGGGGAGUACGGCCGCAAGGUUGAAACUCAAAGGAAUUGACGGGG
RNAcentral lists this ribosomal RNA (397 nucleotides) under uncultured bacterium. RNAcentral's name for it is "partial 16S ribosomal RNA". It matches the Rfam family "Bacterial small subunit ribosomal RNA", at positions 523 to 918 of the family's 1533-position model. The record is from RNAcentral.